CGUAAAGCGAGCGCAGACGGUUGAUUAAGUCUGAUGUGAAAGCCCGGAGCUCAACUCCGGAAUGGCAUUGGAAACUGGUUAACUUGAGUGCAGUAGAGGUAAGUGGAACUCCAUGUGUAGCGGUGGAAUGCGUAGAUAUAUGGAAGAACACCAGUGGCGAAGGCGGCUUACUGGACUGUAACUGACGUUGAGGCUCGAAAGUGUGGGUAGCAAACAGGAUUAGAUACCCUGGUAGUCCACACCGUAAACGAUGAACACUAGGUGUUAGGAGGUUUCCGCCUCUUAGUGCCGAAGCUAACGCAUUAAGUGUUCCGCCUGGGGAGUACGACCGCAAGGUUGAAACUCAAAGGAAUUGACGGGGACCCGCACAAGCGGUGGAGCAUGUGGUUUAAUUCGAAGCAACGCGAAGAACCUUACCAGGUCUUGACAUCCUUUGAAGCUUUUAGAGAUAGAAGUGUUCUCUUCGGAGACAAAGUGACAGGUGGUGCAUGGUCGUCGUCAGCUCGUGUCGUGAGAUGUUGGGUUAAGUCCCGCAACGAGCGCAACCCUUAUUGUUAGUUGCCAGCAUUCAGAUGGGCACUCUAGCGAGACUGCCGGUGACAAACCGGAGGAAGGCGGGGACGACGUCAGAUCAUCAUGCCCCUUAUGACCUGGGCUACACACGUGCUACAAUGGCGUAUACAACGAGUUGCCAACCCGCGAGGGUGAGCUAAUCUCUUAAAGUACGUCUCAGUUCGGAUUGUAGUCUGCAACUCGACUACAUGAAGUCGGAAUCGCUAGUAAUCGCGGAUCAGCACGCCGCGGUGAAUACGUUCCCGGGUCUUGUACACACCGCCCGUCACACCAUGGGAGUUUGUAAUGCCCAAAGCCGGUGGCCUAACCUUUUAGGAAGGAGCCGUCUAAGGCAGGACAGAUGACUGGGGUGAAGUCGUAACAAGAGGC
This 942-nucleotide ribosomal RNA is filed under the name Leuconostoc mesenteroides. Its description in RNAcentral is "bacterial SSU rRNA". It matches the Rfam family "Bacterial small subunit ribosomal RNA", at positions 559 to 1499 of the family's 1533-position model. The record is from RNAcentral. Lineage: Bacteria; Bacillati; Bacillota; Bacilli; Lactobacillales; Lactobacillaceae.